Molecule: ribosomal RNA, 281 nt
Filed under: uncultured Lachnospiraceae bacterium
Lineage: Bacteria; Bacillati; Bacillota; Clostridia; Lachnospirales; Lachnospiraceae
Description: partial 16S ribosomal RNA
Rfam family: Bacterial small subunit ribosomal RNA (bases 43-281)
Source: RNAcentral
CUUUGAUGAAGUUUUCGGAUGGAUUUAAAACAGCUUAGUGGCGGACGGGUGAGUAACGCGUGGGUAACCUGCCUCACACUGGGGGAUAACAGUUAGAAAUAGCUGCUAAUACCGCAUAAGCGCACGGUUCCGCAUGGAACAGUGUGAAAAACUCCGGUGGUGUGAGAUGGAUCCGCGUCUGAUUAGGUAGUUGGUGAGGUAACGGCCCACCAAGCCGACGAUCAGUAGCCGACCUGAGAGGGUGACCGGCCACAUUGGGACUGAGACACGGCCCAAACUCC